Molecule: ribosomal RNA, 769 nt
Filed under: bacterium
Lineage: Bacteria
Description: bacterial SSU rRNA
Rfam family: Bacterial small subunit ribosomal RNA
Source: RNAcentral
UGCAGUCGACGGCAGCACAGAGGAGCUUGCUCCUUGGGUGGCGAGUGGCGGACGGGUGAGGAAUACAUCGGAAUCUACUCUGUCGUGGGGGAUAACGUAGGGAAACUUACGCUAAUACCGCAUACGACCUACGGGUGAAAGCAGGGGACCUUCGGGCCUUGCGCGAUUGAAUGAGCCGAUGUCGGAUUAGCUAGUUGGCGGGGUAAAGGCCCACCAAGGCGACGAUCCGUAGCUGGUCUGAGAGGAUGAUCAGCCACACUGGAACUGAGACACGGUCCAGACUCCUACGGGAGGCAGCAGUGGGGAAUAUUGGACAAUGGGCGCAAGCCUGAUCCAGCCAUACCGCGUGGGUGAAGAAGGCCUUCGGGUUGUAAAGCCCUUUUGUUGGGAAAGAAAUCCAGCUGGCUAAUACCCGGUUGGGAUGACGGUACCCAAAGAAUAAGCACCGGCUAACUUCGUGCCAGCAGCCGCGGUAAUACGAAGGGUGCAAGCGUUACUCGGAAUUACUGGGCGUAAAGCGUGCGUAGGUGGUCGUUUAAGUCCGUUGUGAAAGCCCUGGGCUCAACCUGGGAACUGCAGUGGAUACUGGGCGACUAGAGUGUGGUAGAGGGUAGCGGAAUUCCUGGUGUAGCAGUGAAAUGCGUAGAGAUCAGAGGAACAUCCAUGGCGAAAGCAGCUACCUGGACCACACUGACACUGAGCACGAAGCGUGGGGAGCAAACAGAUUAGAUACCCUGGUAGUCCACGCCCUAACGAUGCGACUGAUGUG